UCUCACCUGUGACGAGGCUGCCCCCAGCUC
RNAcentral lists this non-coding RNA (30 nucleotides) under Homo sapiens (human). The record is from RNAcentral. Lineage: Eukaryota; Metazoa; Chordata; Mammalia; Primates; Hominidae.